UGUUGUAUAGGGUUAUGAGCAAUAUUGAUAGCUGACUUGUUGUCACAAUACAGCUUCAUAGGACCAUCCCACUUGAUUCUCAAAUCAUCUAGAAUAAUCUUCAGCCAAAGUAGUUCACACAACCCUUGAGCAAUGGCCCUAAACUUUGAUUCUAUAGACGACCUUGCUACCACAUUCUGCUUUUUACUUCUCCAUGUUACCAGAUUUCCUCCAAGAAAAGUACAAUACCCUGUAGUUGAUCUUCGAUCCACUAGGGAACCUGCAUAGUUAGCAUCGGUGUAUGCUUCUAGAGCAAGAGUAUUGUUCUUCUUGAACAUAAUUCCUUUCCUGGGGUUGCCUUUCAAGUAAUGUAGCACCCUGUAAACAGCUUGAAGAUGAGGUUCUCUUGGAUCAUGCAUGAAUUGACUAAUCACGCUCACCGAGUAGGCGAUGUCUGGCCGAGUGUGAGCAAGGUAUAUGAGUCUACCAACCAGCCUCUGGUACAUUCUUUUAUCCACCAUUGGUUCCUCUUUAGCUUCUCCCAACUUGUGGUUUGGAUCCAUUGGGGUAGAGACUGGUUUACACCCAAUCUUCCCUGUUUCUACCAAUAAAUCAGUCACAUACUUUUGUUGAGAGAUGAAGAUCCCUUGUGUGGAAUUUGUCACCUCAAUACUGAGGAAGUACUUCAGUUUCCCUAGUUCUUUUAUCUCAAACUCUGUUGCUAAUCUCUACUUCACUUCAUGCUUUUCUCUCUCAUCAUUUCCAGUCACUAUGAUGUCGUCAACAUAGCCUAGAAGAGCAGUUACUCCCCCUGUAGCCGAGUGCUUAAUGAAGAGAGUGUGGUCACCUUGGCUUUGUUUGUACCUAGACUCUUUCAUGACUUUUGCAAAUCUCCCAAACCAAGCCCUGGGAGAUUGUUUUAGCCCAUAGAGGGCCUUCUUCAGCUUGCACACCUUGUUACCUGUGUUUUCCUCAAAUCCUGGUGGGAUGUUCAUGUAAAUCUCUUCAUCUAAAUCACCAUGAAGAAAUGCAUUCUUAACAUCAUACUGUAGGAGUUGCCAAUUGUAGUGGGCAGCCAGUGACAACAGGAUUCUUACAGUAUUCAUUUUUGCAACUGGAGCAAAAGUCUCCUGAUAAUCAACUCCAUAAGUUUGAGUGUACCCUUUGGCUACCAAUCUUGCUUUAUGUCUCUCUAGAGAUCCAUUAGCCUUAUAUUUCAGUGUGAAAAUCCACUUGCAAUCAACAAUGUUUUUCCCUUUCGGUCGUUCAACAAUCUCCCAUGUUUUAUUCUUUUCUAAUGCACUCAUCUCCUCUCUCAUAGCAUCCUUCCAUUCCCUUUUUGUCAAUGCCUCAGAAACAGUGUUAGGAAUGAUAGUGGUGUUUAGACUCACAAUAAAAUUCUUGUGGGCUGGUGAUAGGUGUUUAAGAGACACAUAGUGUGAUAGUGGAUAAAGUGGUCGGUUAGUGCAUUCUCUGGUGCCUUUUCUGACAGCAAUGGGAAAGUCUAGGUCUAGGUUGUCUGUUGAGUCAAUGGAAGUUUCACCAGGUUGUGUAUGUAAAGGUGGGUCUGAUCUUACAAUGGGAAGGUCUAGGUCUAGGUUGUCUGUUGAGUUAGUGGAAGUUUCACCAGGUUGUGUAUGUAAAGGUGGGUCUGAUCUUACCGUGAUUUCAUUCCCAAGGUCUGAGUUGGAUUCUUGGACCUGCUUUUGUUCUGGAAUGGCCUUUUCCCUUGAAUACACCUUAGGAAACUGUGGAAAAUUGUGAGUGACACUGGCUGGAACAGAGGAUGACACAGGUUCUUCAUCACCAUGGGUUGAGACAUGAGGAAGAUCAAGAGGUUCAAAGGACACAUAAGGACUAUCUUCCAU
RNAcentral lists this long non-coding RNA (1847 nucleotides) under Vitis vinifera (wine grape). RNAcentral describes it as "long non-coding RNA (VVIN_LNC001561)". Lineage: Eukaryota; Viridiplantae; Streptophyta; Magnoliopsida; Vitales; Vitaceae. The record is from RNAcentral.